UUUAUUGGAGAGUUUGAUCCUGGCUCAGGAUGAACGCUGGCGGCGUGCCUAAUACAUGCAAGUCGAGCGAAUGGAUUGAGA
This 81-nucleotide ribosomal RNA is filed under the name Bacillus cereus. RNAcentral describes it as "partial 16S ribosomal RNA". It matches the Rfam family "Bacterial small subunit ribosomal RNA", at positions 1 to 80 of the family's 1533-position model. The record is from RNAcentral. Lineage: Bacteria; Bacillati; Bacillota; Bacilli; Caryophanales; Bacillaceae.